AAACCAACAGGGAUUGCCUCAGUAACGGCGAGUGAAGCGGCAACAGCUCAAAUUUGAAAUCUGGCCCCAGGCCCGAGUUGUAAUUUGCAGAGGAUGCUUUUGGCGAGGUGCCUUCCGAGUUCCCUGGAACGGGACGCCAUAGAGGGUGAGAGCCCCGUACGGUUGGACACCAAGUCUUUGUAAAGCUCCUUCGACGAGUCGAGUAGUUUGGGAAUGCUGCUCAAAAUGGGAGGUAUAUUUCUUCUAAAGCUAAAUAUUGGCCAGAGACCGAUAGCGCACAAGUAGAGUGAUCGAAAGAUGAAAAGCACUUUGAAAAGAGGGUUAAACAGCACGUGAAAUUGUUAAAAGGGAAGCGCUUAUGACCAGACUUGCGCCCGGUGAAUCACCCAGCUCUCGCGGCUGGGGCACUUUGCCGGCUCAGGCCAGCAUCAGCUCGCUGUCGGGGACAAAAGCUUCGGGAACGUAGCUCUCUUCGGGGAGUGUUAUAGCCCGUUGCAUAAUACCCUUCGGCGGGCUGAGGUACGCGCUCCGCAAGGAUGCUGGCGUAAUGGUCAUCAGCGAC
RNAcentral lists this ribosomal RNA (562 nucleotides) under uncultured fungus. RNAcentral's name for it is "eukaryotic LSU rRNA". It matches the Rfam family "Eukaryotic large subunit ribosomal RNA", at positions 62 to 648 of the family's 3401-position model. The record is from RNAcentral. Lineage: Eukaryota; Fungi.